CGAAUUUGGUUGCUCUUAGACCGC
RNAcentral lists this non-coding RNA (24 nucleotides) under Arabidopsis thaliana (thale cress). Lineage: Eukaryota; Viridiplantae; Streptophyta; Magnoliopsida; Brassicales; Brassicaceae. The record is from RNAcentral.